Molecule: ribosomal RNA, 340 nt
Filed under: Fusarium sp. PSTF25
Lineage: Eukaryota; Fungi; Ascomycota; Sordariomycetes; Hypocreales; Nectriaceae
Description: eukaryotic LSU rRNA
Rfam family: 5.8S ribosomal RNA (bases 1-143)
Source: RNAcentral
ACGGAUCUCUUGGUUCUGGCAUCGAUGAAGAACGCAGCAAAAUGCGAUAAGUAAUGUGAAUUGCAGAAUUCAGUGAAUCAUCGAAUCUUUGAACGCACAUUGCGCCCGCCAGUAUUCUGGCGGGCAUGCCUGUUCGAGCGUCAUUUCAACCCUCAAGCCCCCGGGUUUGGUGUUGGGGAUCGGCGAGCCCUUGCGGCAAGCCGGCCCCGAAAUCUAGUGGCGGUCUCGCUGCAGCUUCCAUUGCGUAGUAGUAAAACCCUCGCAACUGGUACGCGGCGCGGCCAAGCCGUUAAACCCCCAACUUCUGAAUGUUGACCUCGGAUCAGGUAGGAAUACCCGC